CUCGUCUUCACGUGAUCUGAACAACGGUGCUGCUGCUCAAUUCACGAUGUGUCCUGAAACUGCCCAAUUACCGCUCUGGCGAUUGAAGAAACAACAACAAAGGACACAGCGGCAGCGUUCCCACAGUGCUUAGUGAGGCCGCGGUGGCCGGACCCGGACGGGACGGGACAUCUGAAUGCCUGGAGGAUCGUAGCUGGUUCCUCUUUACAGCACAGCUUCAGCUCAGGAAUGUUGGUCGUCAUUGGUGACGCAAAGGUCGAGACUCAAGCAUCACAAGCCUUCGUCUGAUAAAACUCGGAUCUGUGAUUACGAAGUUGUAUUAAAUGAUGAAUCUCUUG
Molecule: long non-coding RNA, 338 nt
Organism: Betta splendens (Siamese fighting fish)
Lineage: Eukaryota; Metazoa; Chordata; Actinopteri; Anabantiformes; Osphronemidae
Exons: 4
Source: RefSeq, a predicted model, not a curated record